AGAUUGAACGCUGGCGGCGUGCUUAACACAUGCAAGUCGAGCGGUAACAGGCGUAGCAAUACGUGCUGACGAGCGGCGAACGGGUGCGUAAUACAUGGGAAUCUGCCCCUUGGUGGGGAAUAACCCGGCGAAAGCCGGGCUAAUGCCGCAUAAGAUCUUCGGAUGAAAGCGGGGGAUCGUAAGACCUCGCGCCGAUGGAUGAGCCCAUGUCGGAUUAGCUAGUUGGUGAGGUAACGGCUCACCAAGGCGACGAUCCGUAGCUGGUCUGAGAGGACGGCCAGCCACACUGGGACUGAGACACGGCCCAGACUCCUACGGGAGGCAGCGGUGGGAAUAUUGGACAAUGGGGGAAACCCUGAUCCAGCGACGCCGCGUGUGUGAAGAAGGCCUGCGGUUGUAAAGCAACGUUUCGAGUGGAACGAAAGUAUGCCGGGCUAAACGUACCCCGGUAAGGCUGACGUUACUCAAUGAAAGAAGCACCGGCUAACUCUAGUGCCAGCCAGCCCG
This 507-nucleotide ribosomal RNA is filed under the name uncultured soil bacterium. RNAcentral's name for it is "bacterial SSU rRNA". It matches the Rfam family "Bacterial small subunit ribosomal RNA", at positions 26 to 517 of the family's 1533-position model. The record is from RNAcentral.